GGGUUAAAGAUGAAGUCGCCAGAUGUAGACUCAGGCGACCUAGUGAUUGGAGAUCGCCAGAGCAAGCACAUCGCCAGAGAUGAAGGUGGUGCAGAUUAUGAAGGCGGCCGGCGAGACCACAGGGAAGGUGUAUGAAGGCACCCUAACUCGCCAGUUCCAGUAGAGAUCGCACUCCCAAGUUAGCUAUGUACUGGGCAGCACCAUGCAUAAAUAACUUAGCCAAAAAGAGAGUCAGAAGCAGCGCCCAAGUCAAGGAGGCUCCAGAUGAUGGCACGUGUACAGUUGGAUGCGAGCCACGUGUCCAAGUCUGUAACUGCCAGGAGAGAGAAAGUAACCAGGUAUAUAAGAGUUCUCAACGAACUUUCUGAGGUACGCACGUUCAGAAUACAUUCUUUACGCUUGCGAGUUAU
Molecule: long non-coding RNA, 410 nt
Filed under: Phaseolus vulgaris (common bean)
Lineage: Eukaryota; Viridiplantae; Streptophyta; Magnoliopsida; Fabales; Fabaceae
Description: long non-coding RNA (PVUL_LNC002204)
Source: RNAcentral